Long non-coding RNA from Syngnathoides biaculeatus (alligator pipefish), 428 nucleotides. RefSeq lists it as uncharacterized. The record is from RefSeq and is a predicted model, not a curated record. NCBI's taxonomy places the organism in Eukaryota, Metazoa, Chordata, Actinopteri, Syngnathiformes, Syngnathidae. The transcript is spliced from 3 exons.
CUCUUCAAAGCCUCGCGAUCCAGUACACAAGUCCGGCUGCGUAAGCGGGGACAUCGUCUAACGCUUCCGACGAAAGACUUUGGACGUUCUGCGGCUCUGUGCUUCACAGAGACCUGGCUUUGUGGACGAGUGCCCGACGCUGGUAUCACGCUGCCCUGUCUCAACCUCCAUCGUGCUGAUGUGUCGCCGAGCUAAGCUAACGAGCUUAAUCGAUGCUCUUUCCAGAAGGCCAACAAUACAGUCCAAAUUCCGUCUGAGGAAAAAUCAGAGCCAGAACGUGACGCUACCACCACCAUUCUUCGGUGUAGAUGAGCGGAUCUUGUUGAAGCCUCUCUCCAUGAUGUUCUGGCACUCGAGCAGGAACUCGCAGCGUUUUCCCUGGAAGUUCUCCUCCUCCCACAUGGUGAUCUUGAACUGGCCCAUCUGCU